RNAcentral lists this long non-coding RNA (275 nucleotides) under Elaeis guineensis (African oil palm). Its description in RNAcentral is "long non-coding RNA (EGUI_LNC056854)". Lineage: Eukaryota; Viridiplantae; Streptophyta; Magnoliopsida; Arecales; Arecaceae. The record is from RNAcentral.
UCUUUAAGUCAAAUAAGGAUGAAAAAAAGUUAGAGUCAAAUUGAAAUUCAAAAUGAUUUGAAUUGCAAUAAAAUCCAGCUCUUAUCCUGUCUUAUCUGAUUUGUGCGAUAACUAUAAAAAGGUCACAAUUUUGUGUGCCAACAAGAGAGAGCUUUUCACUGUGAGAUAUCAGAGAGAAAGAGAGGCCAAAAUCCUUCUUUGGGGCAUAAGGUUUGGGUGGUUUUCUUUCUUUCUUGGCAUGAACAAAAGAAAAGAUCGUUCUCCUCUCGGGUGAG